GUGGGGGAUAUUGCACAAUGGGCGAAAGCCUGAUGCAGCGACGCCGCGUGAGGGAAGACGGUUUUCGGAUUGUAAACCUCUGUCGAGGGGGACGAAGGAAGUGACGGUACCCCUUGAGGAAGCCACGGCUAACUACGUGCCAGCAGCCGCGGUAAUACGUAGGUGGCAAGCGUUGUCCGGAAUUACUGGGUGUAAAGGGAGCGUAGGCGGGGAUGCAAGUUGAAUGUAUAAACGGCCGGCUCAACUGGUCGAAGCGUUCAAAACUGCAUUUCUUGAGUGGAGUAGAGGCAGGCGGAAUUCCUAGUGUAGCGGUGAAAUGCGUAGAUAUUAGGAGGAACACCAGUGGCGAAGGCGGCCUGCUGGGCUCUAACUGACGCUGAGGCUCGAAAGCGUGGGUAGCAAACAGGA
RNAcentral lists this ribosomal RNA (408 nucleotides) under uncultured bacterium. RNAcentral's name for it is "bacterial SSU rRNA". It matches the Rfam family "Bacterial small subunit ribosomal RNA", at positions 354 to 777 of the family's 1533-position model. The record is from RNAcentral.